Molecule: ribosomal RNA, 468 nt
Filed under: uncultured bacterium
Lineage: Bacteria
Description: partial 16S ribosomal RNA
Rfam family: Bacterial small subunit ribosomal RNA
Source: RNAcentral
GACGAACGCUGGCGGCGUGCUUAACACAUGCAAGUCGAACGGAAAGGCCCGGCUUUUGUGGGGUGGUCGAUUGGCGAACGGGUGAGUAACACGUGAGUAACCUGCCCUUGACUUUGGGAUAACUUCAGGAAACUGGGGCUAAUACCGGGUAGGAUCUCCUGCUGCGUGGGGGGGGUUGGAAAAUGUCGGCGGUUGGGGAUGGUCUAGCGGCUUAUCAGCUGGAUGGUGGGGUAGUUGCUGACCAGGGCUUUGACGGGUAGCCGGCCUGGGAGCGUGACCGGCCACCUUGGGCCUGCGAUACGGCCCAGACUCCUACGGUAGGCAGCAGUCGGGAACAUUGCACAAUGGGCGCAAGCCUGAUGCAGCAGCCCCGCGUGCGGGAUGCCGGCCUUCUGGUUGUAAACCGCUUUCGCAUGUGCCGAACCGUGCGUGACGGUAAUGGGUCAAGAAGCCCCGGCUAACUACGUG